Molecule: long non-coding RNA, 1375 nt
Filed under: Calidris pugnax (ruff)
Lineage: Eukaryota; Metazoa; Chordata; Aves; Charadriiformes; Scolopacidae
Description: lncRNA (ENSCPUG00000002149.1)
Source: RNAcentral
CCAUCACUGCUGGUGGAGCGCACCCGAGACGAAUGGACCCCUUCCCCAUUGGAUGGCUGCUGCUUUUUUUCUGCUCCGUUGAAACUCCCCAUCAGUUAAGGCAGAUGUGCAAAUGGACCAAAUCCAGGGCACGAGGCCGCGUCUGCCAUUUUCUACAGCAAUGCCAGUGCUGGAGCCUGGGAGAUGUUUCCCGGUCUCGCUCUGACCCUGAGACGAGGAGGAGGAACAUCUGGAGGGCUAGUCCAAGUUAGAAAGAGUCUCUGGAAGCAGCUUGGACUGGGGUGGUCAGACCUGGACCCAUGUGCUUGUUUCUCCAGACGUAGAAAUUCUGGCUUCCCCGAGGAGGAAGUUGCUGCAGCUGUACCUUCAGUGGCACAUACUUAUAUGGUGAGCAUAUAGACAUGCCAUGAGGGAGAGAGCUUGGAGGAUGCAUCUGAAUGGCACAGGCUUUGCCUACAGAUGGUGCUUUACGUUCGUCAUGGAUUUUUUCCCUUAUAAGGGAUGGUCAUAUUUAAAGAGAGAGCAUAACUGAGUCUCUCCCGCAGCCUGGUCUUGCUGGCCACUUGGGAUUGAGGGUUUUUCCUCUUUUUCCCCUCCCACUGUGUUCCUCAGUUAUUCUUCUGUGACCAUCUAACACUGCAGGUUAUUUAUCAAAUAGCCAGUAAUGGCCAAACAGAGGCCCAUUACAACCAGCAUUUGCAACGUUUUGUGAGCAAUAAAUACGCUGCGGUUAGUAAAUAUGUUGUCACUGGGUAGCGUUACAUGGAAACAUGACCUUCAGUACUUGCCAGCAUUUCAAAAUGGAUUUUAAAAAUUAAAAAACUAACUUUCACCUGAAAGAGUUGAGGUGGCUUUUCUGAGCUCAUUUUGGGUUUUCCUACACCUUUGUUUCAGGAUUAGAUCAAAGUUCAACUCUAAAUUUGCAUCAGGAUCUAGAACUGAGACUUGGUGUGACACAGCAGACUGAUGACUAGAAGUAGAAACGUGGAAGAAAACUUGAAACUCAAACUUUCUUCCAGUGUACAGUAUGCAUAUGGAUUUGUCCUUUCUUUAAUGGCUUGCUUUGUCGUUGUUCUGCCCCGAUUUGGUUUAUUUGUGCUGUACGCCAUCCAUAAAGUCAUCUCUGGAACUUAUAAGUACUUUCGCAAAGACAACAGUGGGAAGGCAGUUGCAUAUCGUAUUAUUUUUGGCUGGAUCCUCCAGGAACAAUGGCCAUUGUUUGGCAGCGAACAACAAGGAGGCUGCUUUAGCCAUGGAACGGUUUGGAGCCUGGGGGCUGUUCCUCAAAGGGUUGGGAGCCAUUCGAAGGUAUGUGUGAUUCAAGGUCAAAACUAUUUGGAAACAGCUGUUUUAAAAGAAAAAAAAAAAAAAAAAA